UUUCCGUAGGUGUACCUGCGGAAGGAUCAUUGCUGAGUUUUGAAUGAAGUUGUUCUGGUCUUUCGGGGCAAGUGAACGCUUCUCUCAAUCCAUCUUACACCUGUGCACCUAUCGGGGAAGACUUGGAUCUAAGUUGGGUCACGACGGCGAUCUACAGUCUCCUCUUUAUACCAAAUAACAGUUUUAGGAAGUCUUUUUUGCUUGAUGCAAACUUAAAUAAAUACAACUUUCAGCAACGGAUCUCUUGGCUCUC
This 253-nucleotide unclassified non-coding RNA is filed under the name plant metagenome. RNAcentral describes it as "partial contains small subunit ribosomal RNA, internal transcribed spacer 1, and 5.8S ribosomal RNA". The record is from RNAcentral.